UACGUAGGGUCCGAGCGUUGUCCGGAGUUACUGGGCGUAAAGCGCGCGCAGGCGGCUGGUGCUGGCCCGGCGUGAAAGCCCCGGCUCAACCGGGGAGGGUCGUCGGGGACCGCACCGCUUGAGGGCGGUAGGGGCUGGUGGAAUGCCGUGGUGUAGUGGGUGAAAUGCGUAGAGAAUCAGGCGGAACACCCGUGGCGAAGGCGCACUUCC
RNAcentral lists this ribosomal RNA (210 nucleotides) under uncultured bacterium. RNAcentral's name for it is "partial 16S ribosomal RNA". It matches the Rfam family "Bacterial small subunit ribosomal RNA", at positions 524 to 729 of the family's 1533-position model. The record is from RNAcentral.